RNAcentral lists this ribosomal RNA (253 nucleotides) under uncultured bacterium. RNAcentral's name for it is "partial 16S ribosomal RNA". It matches the Rfam family "Bacterial small subunit ribosomal RNA", at positions 524 to 776 of the family's 1533-position model. The record is from RNAcentral.
UACAGAGGUCCCAAGCGUUGUUCGGAUUCAUUGGGCGUAAAGGGUGCGUAGGCGGCGCGGUAAGUCGGGUAUGAAAUCUCGGAGCUUAACUCCGAAACUGCAUUCGAUACUGCCGUGCUUGAGGACUGGAGAGGAGACUGGAAUUUACGGUGUAGCAGUGAAAUGCGUAGAGAUCGUAAGGAAGACCAGUGGCGAAGGCGGGUCUCUGGACAGUUCCUGACGCUGAGGCACGAAGGCCAGGGGAGCAAACGGG